GGUUCCAUUAUAGAAGACAGUAGUGAUGGUUUCAGUGACAUGUGGUUUUACUUGAGCAUUGGCUUGGGAUUUGCAGUAGGUAUUUUAGUUCCUUUUCUGAUUUUUUCUAUCAGAAAACCUUGGAGCCAUGCCUACUUCUUGCUUGUGGACAAAACUGUUGAUAGACUACUAUAUUUGGCCUGCAAAACUGCUACUCGUUUCAGGAAUCGUUGCAAUUUCCAAGCCUAAUUUCAUUAAGUGCUUUAGUGCAAAUCCGGUGGAAGUGAGUUUCAUAUAAAAUAAAGGCAUGUAAUUCAUCUGGUCUUGUCCUACUCUGUUGCAUAACAUAAUCUCUUUUAGCUUCACGCAUUUUGUAACAUAUUAGUGAAUUUGCAUCAAUUCAUGGUAGACAAGAUGUUUCACCUUCAUUUUAGCUUCAAG
RNAcentral lists this unclassified non-coding RNA (420 nucleotides) under Hevea brasiliensis (rubber tree). The record is from RNAcentral. Lineage: Eukaryota; Viridiplantae; Streptophyta; Magnoliopsida; Malpighiales; Euphorbiaceae.